CAGAAAGUAAUUUAAAUAAAAAUUCUGCCUUUGGGAGGCAGUUAUCCGUUACUCCGGCUUUCUGA
This 65-nucleotide transfer RNA is filed under the name Escarpia spicata. RNAcentral's name for it is "tRNA-Pro". The record is from RNAcentral. Lineage: Eukaryota; Metazoa; Annelida; Polychaeta; Sabellida; Siboglinidae.